This 29-nucleotide non-coding RNA is filed under the name Rattus norvegicus (Norway rat). The record is from RNAcentral. Lineage: Eukaryota; Metazoa; Chordata; Mammalia; Rodentia; Muridae.
ACCAAUAUAUCCACACUCUAGGUUGGUCC